RNAcentral lists this ribosomal RNA (347 nucleotides) under uncultured bacterium. Its description in RNAcentral is "bacterial SSU rRNA". It matches the Rfam family "Bacterial small subunit ribosomal RNA", at positions 29 to 402 of the family's 1533-position model. The record is from RNAcentral.
AGCGAACGCUGGCGGCAGGCUUAACACAUGCAAGUCGAGCGCCCGUAGCAAUACGGGAGCGGCAGACGGGAGAGUAACACGUGGGAACAUGCCCUUCGGUUCGGAAUAACUCAGGGAAACUUGAGCUAAUACCGGAUACGUCCGUAAGGAGAAAGAUUUAUCGCCGAAGGAUUGGCCCGCGUCCGAUUAGCUUGUUGGUGAGGUAACGGCUCACCAAGGCGACGAUCGGUAGCUGGUCUGAGAGGAUGAUCAGCCUCACUGGGACUGAGACACGGCCCAGACUCCUACGGGAGGCAGCAGUGGGGAAUAUUGCGCAAUGGCGAAAGCCUGACGCAGCGACGCCGCGU